This is a long non-coding RNA of Micropterus dolomieu (smallmouth bass), 1853 nucleotides long. RefSeq lists it as uncharacterized. The transcript has 2 exons. NCBI's taxonomy places the organism in Eukaryota, Metazoa, Chordata, Actinopteri, Centrarchiformes, Centrarchidae. The record is from RefSeq and is a predicted model, not a curated record.
AUUCAUUAUAACCACGAGUGACUUGAGACCUGACUUGGACUCUAGCUCAAAGACUUGUGAGCAUCUCUGGUGAGCAGUGAAGUUUGCAUCGCAUCACUCGGGUCUUCAAUACAUGACUUCAAGACAUGGCUAUUUGGAGAAUUUCAUAGGUGGACAUCUCGAUAGCAGAGCUGUGUGUUUAGAUGGGACCGGUAAGAAUGAAUGGCUCUUGUUUUGGCCAAUGUAAUCACCUCAGGGUGCAGAUGACAAGCUCUGAAUACUAAAUUGUUUCAGCAAGCUUUUUUACUCUGAACCAUUUUUCACAUUAUGUAUGUUAGUACUUUCUCUUUAACAAAAAUCCUUGACAUUAGUGUAUACCAAUUUCUCACAACAUCCACACACAAAAUUAAAUGUAUCUACUAACUCGUUUUGAACCAGAUGAUGCCACAGUAAUUAUAUAUUUUAAAUUAAUUUAGGUUUUUGAUGAUGCAUGCCAGACCAUAGAGCGUAAGAGAACAAUAGCCUGAACAUGUCAAAAUUAGGUAUCAAAGUAACUGAACGGAAACAACAAAAAAAACACACCAGACGAUGUCUGUCACUUAUGGUUGGUUGUGUGAGAUUGACACUUCCAAUAUGAGCAGACUGAAAAAUUGACUGAGAAAAACUCCAAUCAUCUCAUUUCACACAAUUUGUUAAAAUCUCAUCAUAUUCCAGUAUUAUAAUGUCUCUGGCAUGUGCACCAACUUUAUGUGGUGCACUGACAAGAAGUUAUUUUCAAAGGUAGGCUAUUCAUUUGCAGAUGUAGAACAAUUUGGGGCUUAAAGAGGACAUUUUUAGUAGUUUGUAUAAACUGUGAUUUGAAAUCAUUAAUAACAUAGUGGAGUAAUGGUGAAUAUCAAGAGAAAGAGAAAAUGGGAAAUCACCUGAAGGCAGUAGAGAUAAGCGAAAGGGUGCUUUACUGUUAAAAAAUCAUCAGUUACCAAAAUCUUUUAACAAACAUUUACACAUGGUAAGUUCAUGGCAUACGGACGAUAUAUACAGAAAGCAAUGUCCGAUGAGGCUUUUCAGAGGAGUGAUAUGUUUAGUUGUUUUUGAGCUCCUCAAAUAAACCAGUGCUCAUAAGAUGGAGGAAUCUGUUGCCUCAACACUGACUGUGAUUGUGUUUGUGCCACCUACAAAUGAAUCCAGAAAAGUCACCUACAGUACAUAAAAAUACCACCAGUGUGUCAGUCACACUUGUCACAGAGGCAAACCAUGUUAAAAACAAAUGUAUCUAUCACAGAACAGUGCAGAUACAACAAUAGUUUCACUCACCCUUCCCUGUUCUCAUCUUCAUCUGCGUUGGAGAGGAGCUGCGAGCCAGCCAGCGAGAGGUCCAGAGCUGCGAGGGGCAGAUCUCUGUAGCCAAAACUCACCAGCUGGACUGGAGGAGCCAAGCACUGGUUCUCGUCCUCCACUGGCUGGGAGAUGAUCUCCAAGUCCGACAGACCUGCCUGCUCCACUUCCCUGGUUACAUGCCAACACCAGCAACAGACAGACAAAAGACACAUGCACCAGGUUUUGACAAGGAAGAGGAAUGUCCAUCCAUCCAUCGUCAACCGCUUAUCCUGCGUACAGGGUCACGGGGGGCUAGAGCCAAUCCCAGCUGGCAUCGGGCGAAAGGUGACAACAACUCACAGGACAAUUUAGGGUCAGUGCCACCCUAGGAAGAGGAAUGUGUGAAAUAAAAUAUCUUGUCCAUUGCAAGUCAGACAUUGUUAAAUGAGUGCAAUGCUAAAUCUUCUAAUGGUAGUCUCUUGCAAGGUAAACAAUGUACUCAAAAAUAUAAAAAAUUACAACAAUUCUGAUGCUACAAAAUAAAUAAAAUCACAAUA